UGUCGUGGAGCGUGGAAAGAAUGCAAGUCGAACGAAGAAUAUGAUUAGUUUACUAAGAGUAUUUUUAGUGGCGGACGGGUUAGUAACACGUGAGCAACCUGCCUUAAAGUGGGGGAUAGUCCUGGGAAACUAGGUUUAAUACCGCAUGUGAUCUUUGGAUCAAAGAUGGCCUUUGGCUAUCGCUUUAAGAUGGGCUCGCGUCCUAUCAGCUAGUUGGUGAGGUAAAGGCUCACCAAGGCGACGAUCAGUAUCUGGUUUGAGAGGACGAUCAGACACACUGGAACUGAGACACGGUCCAGACUCCUACGGGAGGCAGCAGUGGGGAAUUUUCCGCAAUGGGCGAAAGCCUGACGGAGCAAUACCGCGUGAGGGAUGACUGCCUAUGGGUUGUAAACCUCUUUUUUCAGGGAGGAAUCAAUGACGUUACCUGAAGAAUAAGUAUCGGCUAACUCCGUGCCAGCAGCCGCGGUAAGACGGAGGAUGCAAGUGUUAUCCGGAAUCACUGGGCGUAAAGCGUCUGUAGGUGGUUUGAUAAGUCAACUGUUAAAUCUUGAGGCUCAACCUCAAAACCGCAGUCGAAACUAUUAGACUAGAGUAUAGUAGGGGUAAAGGGAAUUUCCAGUGGAGCGGUGAAAUGCGUAGAGAUUGGAAAGAACACCGAUGGCGAAGGCACUUUACUGGGCUAUUACUAACACUCAGAGACGAAAGCUAGGGUAGCAAAUGGGAUUAGAUACCCCAGUAGUCCUAGCCGUAAACAAUGGGUACUAGAUGUUGAACAGAUCGACCUGUGCAGUAUUAAAGCUAACGCGUUAAGUAUCCCGCCUGGGAAGUAUGCUCGCAAGAGUGAAACUCAAAGGAAUUGACGG
RNAcentral lists this ribosomal RNA (866 nucleotides) under uncultured bacterium. Its description in RNAcentral is "bacterial SSU rRNA". It matches the Rfam family "Bacterial small subunit ribosomal RNA", at positions 35 to 916 of the family's 1533-position model. The record is from RNAcentral.